This 802-nucleotide long non-coding RNA is filed under the name Brassica rapa (field mustard). Its description in RNAcentral is "long non-coding RNA (BRAP_LNC008544)". Lineage: Eukaryota; Viridiplantae; Streptophyta; Magnoliopsida; Brassicales; Brassicaceae. The record is from RNAcentral.
CACUCUUUAGCACCAUUCUAGACUUACUGAUUGCAGAUAGUACUAAAGAUACUAAAGUGGAUCAACCUGUCAACUAUGUUCACACUUGUUGAGAUUGUUUGAAGGAACCGAAGCUGACCUCCAACCUAAUUUGACUUAACUGCUUGUCUUGGGGCUUGGUAUACACUGGAUCGGAUUCCUCCUUCAGGUCUGAAAGGUAAAAGUCUGAGUGAUUUUGGUUUCCUUAUCUCCUCCCUUUGGCAUCCUAAUAAAAUAAAAUAAAAGAUUGAGAUGAUUUCUUGCGGUUUAGAGGGGUAGGUACAUUACCGAUGACCCCAUUAUUCUACUCUAAUAGAAUGAUCACACGUUGUUGGAAGCGAGGGGUAGGUACAUUACCGAUGACCCCACUAUUCGCCUACACUUUGUCAAGGAAAAGAAAAAGAAAAAAAUAAUAAUAAUAAUAAAAAAUCGAAAAGAAGGUGAAUAAGAUGGACUGCAUCAGCAUCUUUGUUCAUUGGAAUUGAGAUAAAAAGGAUUCGGAGAAGGGAGAUAUAGAAUAAAAGAAACCAGAACAAGACUACCUGUUUACUCAGAUACCUGUUGGGGUAAGAGUCCAUGUGUCUUGUGAUCGAUACUCCCAAGGUAAAGCAUACACAUUUAUUUAUGUUAAGAAAUGAGGUUGGUAGAUGGGAAUAUCAGACAUGAUUUGCUAAGAUGUUGGCUAGGUGAAUUUGGUUGCUAAGCUAGGAUAUUGUAUAAUGUGCUUCUGUGAUUAGGACUUCUUAGAUGUGCAUUGCAAUAUUGUAGAGGUGAUGAUUCUAAG